AUGAAGCGGCAAGCGGACAAGCAUCGCACAGAACGCUCCUUCCAAGUGGGUGAUCAGGUUUUUCUCAAGGUCCAACCCUACCUUCAAAACUCCUUGGCUGCCCAGCGCAAUCAAAAGCUUGCCUUGAAGUUCUACGGGCCGUACCAAGUUCUGCAGCGUGUCGGCGCUGUCUCCUACAAGCUGGCUCUUCCUGCGAAUUCCAGGAUCCACGACGCGAUCCACGUCUCCCAGCUCAAGAAGCAAGUCCCUCCCAAGUUCUCCGUCGAGCCAGACAUGAGCAUGGUGGCGCCGCGGAACCUGUCGCUGCUGCAGCCGGCGACGAUCUUGCAGAUGAAGCUCAUUCGGCGUGGUGGUUCAAUGAAGCCCCGGCUCAAGGUACGCUGGCGUGAUCGCCCUGACACCCAUGACUGCUGGGAAGACGCAUUCGCUCUGCAGCAGAUUCUCCCUUCGACGGCUUGGGGGCAAGCCGCUCCUCAAGGGAUGGGGAAUGUUAUGCCAUGGCCCAACCCAGGAAGGAGGCCCAAGGCCUGUCGCCGCUCACGCCUGCUGGACCGGGCCUGGAGGGCAGGAGGAACCCAGUGCGGCAUCACGGCAGCGAGAGAUAAAGAGCAGUAG
Molecule: ribosomal RNA, 615 nt
Filed under: Triticum aestivum (bread wheat)
Lineage: Eukaryota; Viridiplantae; Streptophyta; Magnoliopsida; Poales; Poaceae
Description: partial small subunit ribosomal RNA
Source: RNAcentral